AGAAUCAACGCUGGCGGCGUGCCUAACACAUGCAAGUCGCACGAGAAAGGGGGAGCAAUCCCUGAGUAAAGUGGCGCACGGGUGAGUAACACGUGAAUAAUCUACCUCCGAGUGGGGGAAUAACUGAGAGAAAUCUUAGCUAAUACCGCAUAACACUUACGAGUCAAAGCAGCAAUGCGCUUGGAGAGGAGUUCGCGGCAGAUUAGUUAGUUGGGCGGGGUAAUGGCCCACCAAGACGAUGAUCUGUAUCCGGCCUGAGAGGGCGCACGGACACACUGGAACUGAAACACGGUCCAGACUCCUACGGGAGGCAGCAGUGGGGAAUUUUGCGCAAUGGGGGAAACCCUGACGCAGCAACGCCGCGUGGAGGAUGAAGCCCCUUGGGGUGUAAACUCCUUUCGAUCGGGAAGAUAAUGACGGUACCGAUAUAAGAAGCCCGGCUAACUUCGUGCCAGCAGCCGC
This 462-nucleotide ribosomal RNA is filed under the name uncultured bacterium. RNAcentral's name for it is "SSU rRNA". It matches the Rfam family "Bacterial small subunit ribosomal RNA", at positions 26 to 518 of the family's 1533-position model. The record is from RNAcentral.